GCAGUCGACGCUGAAGCCUGGUGCUUGCACCGGGUGGAUGAGUGGCGAACGGGUGAGUAACACGUGAGUAACCUGCCCCUGACUUCGGGAUAAGCCCGGGAAACUGGGUCUAAUACCGGAUACGACUGCCGGACGCAUGUCUGGUGGUGGAAAGUUUUUUCGGUUGGGGAUGGGCUCGCGGCCUAUCAGUUUGUUGGUGAGGUAAUGGCUCACCAAGACGACGACGGGUAGCCGGCCUGAGAGGGCGACCGGCCACACUGGGACUGAGACACGGCCCAGACUCCUACGGGAGGCAGCAGUGGGGAAUAUUGCACAAUGGGGGAAACCCUGAUGCAGCGACGCAGCGUGCGGGAUGACGGCCUUCGGGUUGUAAACCGCUUUCAGCAGGGAAGAAGCGCAAGUGACGGUACCUGCAGAAGAAGUACCGGCUAACUACGUGCCAGCAGCCGCGGUAAUACGUAGGGUACGAGCGUUGUCCGGAAUUAUUGGGCGUAAAGAGCUCGUAGGUGGUUGGUCACGUCUGCUGUGGAAACGCAACGCUUAACGUUGCGCGUGCAGUGGGUACGGGCUGACUAGAGUGCAGUAGGGGAGUCUGGAAUUCCUGGUGUAGCGGUGAAAUGCGCAGAUAUCAGGAGGAACACCGGUGGCGAAGGCGGGACUCUGGGCUGUAACUGACACUGAGGAGCGAAAGCAUGGGGAGCGAACAGGAUUAGAUACCCUGGUAGUCCAUGCCGUAAACGUUGGGCACUAGGUGUGGGGGGCAUUCCACGUUCUCCGCGCCGUAGCUAACGCAUUAAGUGCCCCGCCUGGGGAGUACGGUCGCAAGGCUAAAACUCAAAGGAAUUGACGGGGGCCCGCACAAGCGGCGGAGCAUGCGGAUUAAUUCGAUGCAACGCGAAGAACCUUACCAAGGCUUGACAUACACCCGGACCGUCCUGGAAACAGGUCCUCUUCUUUGAAGCUGGUGUACAGGUGGUUGCAUGGUUGUCGUCAGCUCGUGUCGUGAGAUGUUUGGGGUUAAGUCCCGCAACGAGCGCAAC
Molecule: ribosomal RNA, 1040 nt
Filed under: uncultured bacterium
Lineage: Bacteria
Description: bacterial SSU rRNA
Rfam family: Bacterial small subunit ribosomal RNA
Source: RNAcentral